Long non-coding RNA from Mercenaria mercenaria, 1321 nucleotides. RefSeq lists it as uncharacterized. The transcript has 3 exons. The record is from RefSeq and is a predicted model, not a curated record. Lineage: Eukaryota; Metazoa; Mollusca; Bivalvia; Venerida; Veneridae.
CGUACCAUCGUGCAUCGCGAUUUAGAAUGAGAUAAAAAGUCACGAUUGUCCAAACGGAACACCGUAAGUAUUAAUACACACACACAAUUUGCGGUGUAAAAAUAUAGUCAAUAUAGGUAACUUGACUUAAAAACCCCGAAAUCCCGAUUUAUAACCAUUUUAAUUUAUAGGUAUUUCAAUGAACUUGACCUUUAAUGUAAACAAAUAUGGCGGCCGUCGAUUGAAAGUAGAAAGUGCAACUCGCUUGAAAAUUCGUAAAUACACUCGUAAUUUUUUUAUGGAAAAGACAUGUUCUUUAGGAACAAAAUCGGCGGUGAAACUUUGCUUUUAUUUUGUAACACAGAAAGUUGGAAAUGAUUUUCAAUUUUCAUAAAUACAGCAGCAAACAAAAAGAAAUUCUUACAGAUGAUGGAUUACCCCACAACUAUUUUAUUAUUGCAGAAAUUAAAUCAUUAUCAACUAGCAUUUAUAAGCGAUCUGCCUCCAAAACUUCGAAUCGUAAAGUGCUCACUGCGCAUGCGCAGCGGAAGUUAUGAAAUUCUAAGGGAGAAGCAAUUAUUCACUUCCUGUAUUUUUAUGGUCUGUCAUCACUAAAGGUGAAGUAACUAAAACAUUACUAAUUAUGCAUUCUGGAACUUAUCCCUUUGUUGGAAGUAGUGGUCUCAUCCUUUUGUUUACAUUUUUUCUUGCAUCCAGAGAGAAAAAGUUGGAGAAACAAUUUUAUGGAACAGAAUCUUUUUUGCAAUAAAUUCAAAUAAUUUCUUAACAUUUUUAGAAAGGUAUUGCCUUAAGAAAUGAAGUAACAUGUUGUAUUGACGUGAAUGCACACUUUAUUAUGACCUUUGUUACAAAAUAACCAAAGAAACCCGUAGGCUAAAAUAAUCCGUUGAAUUGUCCCGACAUUGACCAUUAAACCUGCACGAGCUUUAUGUGAGAUAUCGCUCACAUGUCAAAAAGUUGGACAUUAGUUUGGCGAGUGGAAAAGUAGCUGACUCACUGAAAAUAAUGCUAAAGGUUAGAAAAUGAUGUAGAAGAAACAGUGAGAAAUGCCGGCGACGGCUUGAUAGCAGCAUGUUUCAUAUGAGCUGCGUAGUCGGACCAAAGACAGUACCAGUCUACAUCUUCAAACAUUGAUUGAUAGAUGAAAGGUUUUGUGACGAAAUGCCCAUACGUGCCAAUUAGAGCAUAUGGGGUCAGCGAGUUUAACCAGGAUCGAGUAAGGAGACAUAUUGAGGAAGGAAAGGACUUGCAUCGCGAACCAAUUCUGACUGACUUGUGGAAGAGAUAAUGAUGCUGCUGCUGCUGCUGAUGAUGAUGAUGG